This 484-nucleotide ribosomal RNA is filed under the name uncultured bacterium. RNAcentral's name for it is "partial 16S ribosomal RNA". It matches the Rfam family "Bacterial small subunit ribosomal RNA", at positions 28 to 523 of the family's 1533-position model. The record is from RNAcentral.
GACGAACGCUGGCGGCGUGCUCAACACAUGCAAGUCGAACGAUGAAGCUGGAGCUUGCUCCGGUGGAUUAGUGGCGAACGGGUGAGUAACACGUGAGCAAUCUGCCCUUGACUCUGGGAUAACUGCGGGAAACUGUAGCUAAUACCGGAUACUUUCACUGGAAGGCAUCUUCUGGUGAAGGAAGAAUUUCGGUCAAGGAUGAGCUCGCGGCCUAUCAGCUUGUUGGUGAGGUAACGGCUCACCAAGGCGACGACGGGUAGCCGGCCUGAGAGGGUGACCGGCCGCACUGGGACUGAGACACGGCCCAGACUCCUACGGGAGGCAGCAGUGGGGAAUAUUGCACAAUGGGCGCAAGCCUGAUGCAGCAACGCCGCGUGAGGGAUGAAGGCCUUCGGGUUGUAAACCUCUUUUAGCAGGGAAGAAGCGAAAGUGACGGUACCUGCAGAAAAAGCACCGGCUAACUACGUGCCAGCCGCCGCCGUAA